This 253-nucleotide ribosomal RNA is filed under the name uncultured bacterium. RNAcentral describes it as "partial 16S ribosomal RNA". It matches the Rfam family "Bacterial small subunit ribosomal RNA", at positions 524 to 776 of the family's 1533-position model. The record is from RNAcentral.
UACGAAGGGGGCUAGCGUUGCUCGGAAUCACUGGGCGUAAAGCGCACGUAGGCGGAUUGCUAAGUCAGGGGUGAAAUCCUGGAGCUCAACUCCAGAACUGCCCUUGAUACUGGCGGUCUCGAGUCCGGGAGAGGUGAGUGGAACUGCGAGUGUAGAGGUGAAAUUCGUAGAUAUUCGCAAGAACACCAGUGGCGAAGGCGGCUCUCUGGGACGGUACUGACGCUGAGACGCGAAAGCGUGGGGAGCGAACAGG